Molecule: long non-coding RNA, 909 nt
Organism: Dermacentor andersoni
Lineage: Eukaryota; Metazoa; Arthropoda; Arachnida; Ixodida; Ixodidae
Source: RefSeq, a predicted model, not a curated record
UUUGUGUGCUUCGCUGUGACAUCUUUGGAAUAUUCCUGCGUGUUGCUCGCUUUUUAUGGACUUGUUGCCUCGAAGAUCGCCAUGAUCGCCUCCGACUCAGCGACAUCAAGGAUUCAAAAUGAGCUGGGAGAGGCCCCAGCUGGAACGGUUCACAUAGGUUGAAGGAGUGCACAUUGAGAAGGUUAUCCUGGCACAGUUUACCAUGGCCUGCCAUGGUGGACCAGGAAAGUUUGCAAGGGCCUUGCUUCACCAUGUGUUCACAGAGGAGGAGCUCAUGGGCCAUUUGGGCUUUGGAAAUAACACCAAGGGGCAAAAAAGGCUCUUGACCCCACCAGGGUCAGUGCUGUUAUAGGCAAGUACCAUAUAUCCUUUCUGGUUGCAUUUUUACAUUCACAUUUUUUUCUAAAAUUAUGAACUUGCCAUUGGCAUAACAAACGACUUUCAAGUAGCCCGUGUGUGCAGUUGUAUGCGACAAUAGCCUCCUAUUUGGAAUGACUGUUCGUACGAUCUUAAGUGCGUAAUGCCGCCAUACUCAAAUGCUUCUAAAAUUUAAAAGCUGCCUUCACUGCUGAAAGUUUUUAGUGGCUCCACCACAUAAAAUGAGCUGCAUUUGCGCAUUAGCAGUGUUACUUGGCUGUCAUUGCAAGGAAUAGUUGUCUGUGAAGCACGCUCCAAAUCUAUUGGCAUGGAGGACAUGUUUAGUUAGCCUGAAAAUGUUAUUCUAAUACGCGAAUUGCGGAGAAGGUAUGCUCAAGUGUGGUUACUGCUCAGCUCGAGCAGGAGCAUGUUCACCAAAUUGCAGAAGUCAAAACAGCUCUCCAGGUUCUGAGAUGUGAAACAGUAGUUUCACCAAUUUUAACAGACCACAUCGAAUUAAGGUUGCUCCUAUAUUGAAGGAGGUCCAUGUGA